AAUUUGACUCAACACGGGAAACCUCACCAGGCCAGGACACUGGAAGGAUUGACAGAUUGAUAGCUCUUUCUUGAUUCAGUGGGUGGUGGUGCAUGGCCGUUCUUAGUUGGUGGAGUGAUUUGUCUGGUUAAUUCCGAUAACGAACGAGACUCUAGCCUACUAAAUAGACGUUUCUGGUAUCCACAAUAGUGCUACCAGCGAACAAGUAUUUCUUCUUAGAGGGACAGGCGGCUUCUAGCCGCACGAGACUGAGCAAUAACAGGUCUGUGAUGCCCUUAGAUGUCCUGGGCCGCACGCGCGCUACACUGAAGGAAUCAGCGUGUCUUCCCUGGCCGAAAGGUCCGGGUAACCCGUUGAACCUCCUUCGUGCUAGGGACUGGGGCUUGCAAUUGUUCCCCAUGAACGAGGAAUUCCCAGUAAGCGCAAGUCAUAAGCUUGCGUUGAUUACGUCCCUGCCCUUUGUACACACCGCCCGUCGCUACUACCGAUUGAAUGAUUUAGUGAGGUCUUCGGACUGGUGCUCGGCGAUCGCCUCGGUGGUCACCGG
RNAcentral lists this ribosomal RNA (547 nucleotides) under Heteronotus sp. MEM199 Evangelista. RNAcentral's name for it is "SSU rRNA". It matches the Rfam family "Eukaryotic small subunit ribosomal RNA", at positions 1192 to 1743 of the family's 1831-position model. Lineage: Eukaryota; Metazoa; Arthropoda; Insecta; Hemiptera; Membracidae. The record is from RNAcentral.